This 393-nucleotide long non-coding RNA is filed under the name Homo sapiens (human). RNAcentral's name for it is "non-protein coding lnc-CELA2B-2:1". The record is from RNAcentral. Lineage: Eukaryota; Metazoa; Chordata; Mammalia; Primates; Hominidae.
GCUGAGGCAGGUGGAUCACAAGGUCAGGAGUUCGAGACCAGCCUGGCCAACAUGGUGAAACCCCAUCUGUACUAAAAAUACAAAAAUCAGCCAGGAGUGGUGGCGGGUGCCUGUAGUCCCAGCUACUCCGGAGGCUGAGGCAGGAGAAUCGCUUGAACCCGGGAAGCAGAGGUUGCAGUGAGCCAAGAUCGUGCCACUGCACUCCAGCCUGGGUGACAGAGCGAGACUCUGUCUCAAGAAAAAAAAAUAAAAAGAAAAAAAGGAAGACUAAUUCCUGGCCAGGCGCAGUGGCUCAUGCCUGUAACCCCAGCACUUUGGGAGGCCAAGGCAGGCGGAUCACCUGAGGUCAGUAGUUCGAGACCAGCCUGGCCAAAAUGCUGAAACUCUGUCUCU